CACGAUGGCGUCACAUGCCCAAAGGGUAGUUGAUGGACGGGUAGCAGGUUUUUUGUACGCACGAGCCGGGCACAAAUAUGCGAAUGGCAUCUUUUCCUCGACCCCGCGAUGGGCCCUCUUAUUGUUGCCCCGCCAGUUUACAUGUACCUCGAAGCCUGAAGCCUGUAGUUGCUGUGUUUGUCCAAGUAGAGGAAUAAGCCUGAAGGUUGGUAGCGCCGAACCUUUCUUGCAACGGUUCGCAGCACCGUUGUCAAAACGUUCUUCAGGUAGCAUUGAGGCACUUGUUGUUGGAGAAAAAUUGGUACUCGAUCAGAAACUGACACCGGCUGGCACGAAAGAAAGAGUAAUUUCCUGGACACCCUUCUUCGGGAUAAACAAGCCGUUAACGGCCCCGCGUCUUUUCCACUCCAAACUUAACUGUGGUCACACUCAAAAGCGGUCACAAACGGACGCGGUAAGGACCGUUGAAGCAGAUUUUGUGGAACAUGUGCUGCUUGCACCACGUCAAGUGGUUGACGGACAUAAAUUUGUCUUAAUCGACGUGCGGGAACCGGCGGAGCUGCAAGCUUUAGGAACAAUACCUAUGGCCAUAAACAUUCCUUUGGGGGAACUGGAAAACGUUUGGAAUCUUGAC
Molecule: long non-coding RNA, 634 nt
Organism: Physeter macrocephalus (sperm whale)
Lineage: Eukaryota; Metazoa; Chordata; Mammalia; Artiodactyla; Physeteridae
Exons: 3
Source: RefSeq, a predicted model, not a curated record